This 292-nucleotide ribosomal RNA is filed under the name uncultured bacterium. Its description in RNAcentral is "partial 16S ribosomal RNA". The record is from RNAcentral.
GGACUACUGGGGUUUCUAAUCCUGUUUGCUCCCCUAGCUUUCGCGCCUCAGCGUCAGGUUUAACACAGAAAACCGCCUUCACCACCGGUGUUCUUCCACAUAUCUACGCAUUUCACCGCUACACGUGGAAUUCCGUUUUCCCUUAUCAACCUCAAGUCCUAGAGUUUCAAAUGCAGCUCCGGGGUUGAGCCCCGGAAUUUCACAUCCGACUUCUAAGUCCGCCUACGCGCCCUUUACGCCCAGUAAUUCCGAUCAAUGCUUGCACCCUCCGUAUUACCGCGGCUGCUGGCAC